RNAcentral lists this long non-coding RNA (1721 nucleotides) under Cucumis sativus (cucumber). Its description in RNAcentral is "long non-coding RNA (CSAT_LNC001964)". Lineage: Eukaryota; Viridiplantae; Streptophyta; Magnoliopsida; Cucurbitales; Cucurbitaceae. The record is from RNAcentral.
UAGCAAACUCUUCAGCUUCUUAAACAAGGAAGAAGAAACUUGGACUUCUUGGAUCUAAACCUCAAGCUCUACUUUUUCUCUUUAGCCCAAGUCUCUUCAAACACUUCAUUUCUAAGGUAGCUUCUUGAUAGAAACCCACAACAAAGCUUGGUCGGGCAACCCUUACACUUUGGCUUUAACUCUUACAAAAAAAUCUCAAGUUUUCUCUACUUCUUCUCUCUACCUGGCUCUUGAAGUGAAAAUGGUGAAAACUGAGAGAAAUGGGUCUUUUGCACUCACAUGAAACUAUGCGUCCGAAAAACGCUAAACCCUCUCGUGCUAGAAAUUUUCAAAAAUCUAUCUGUCACGCAUCCUUUAAUAAUCUCGACCAAAAUCGGCCCGAGAUCCUUCAAGAUCUGCACUUUUCUUAGCCAGACAUACCUGAAACCCUACCCAAGAAUCCUAAUAAUUUCCUAUUCUACUUCCAGACCCAGCCGAACAUGACUUCGAGAUGGACUGAGACACAACUCCAAAACCAUUAUGUCUUUCAACUCAGUCGACAAGCGCCAAGAUGCUCAUGUCUCAAUACAAGAAUUUUCUCUCUUUUCCAUCUCGCUCGAGACUACUCAAGGCUAGUCCAAAAUUCUUGCUUUUGUCCUUUCUAUGCCUUUUCUCUCGGUCGAACAAAACUAAGUCUGAACAUCUUUGUCCUAUGAUCUUUGCCUUAGCCCGAAACUCUUGGACAAUUGAUCUGAACUCACCUUUCAAUCUUUAUCAAGCCAAUGUGAUAGAAGAUAUGGGUAGUACAUCUAAUGAGCGAGAUUAUUGCUCGGAGGAUAUAUAUUUGAAACAGAGAUGCUAUCUUAGAGGAAACAUUGAGAGGGGAUGUCGAUCUCAUAGGUUUGACCGUUAGUAUUGUGUCCGCUCUACUAUCGCAACAGAGAUGGAAUUGGUAUUGAUUUAGCUCUCAUUUUUAGGACUUGUUUUAUGGUAGAGAGAGGAAAGCUAGUUUGAAUAUCUAUUUAAAAUUAUUUGCAAAGAUUAAAUUAUUUAACAUGAUUUGCUGAGUUGAACUAUCUAGAAAUGUAUUCAUAAGUUUGUCACUUAAAUGUUUUAAGCUUAAUUUGUUCUAGAAACUUGGUCAAUUACUGGAUUUUUUGUAGCUUACCCUUUCAAAAUAUUUUUCUACUUCUCAAGUAGACAUCGAGCUCCCGAUACCUGGCAUGGUGCCAUUAGUCCACUAGAAGUUUCCCACACCAUUUUCAGUAUGUGUGUGUUGUGCUGUAUAUUGUGUCUGUACAUUUGUGUAUGUGAGUCGAUAAAAGUUUGUUUGUUCGUGGGAGUAUAUGUUAGUCUUCUUUAUUAUUAUAAUUUUGGGCUGGUAAUGCCUAAGAAAGAUUAGUUAAACCUUUAACAAAUAGGUUGGGCUGGGUUAUGACAUGGUACAAAUUAAGUACAAGUUUAUGUUGCUAUGUUACUUGUUGAUUUCAUAUGAAAGUAUUUGUUCAAAGUUUAGUUUAGCAAAGUCAACAGAUGUCAUUAAAAUAGAACGAUGUUUGUUAACUUCACACCAUCUCUUGGGCAAAGAGUAGGUGAUUCGAGAGGGGGCGUGACAUUUUGUGCUCUAAAUUUCAUACAAACCCAAAGAACAUUUAAUUGCUUUCUUUACUUUUCUUGCAUACGUUCUCACAAAACCCCACUUUCCUAUAUUAAAAUUCUUGAUUCUUGAUUGAACAUUUGUG